This 583-nucleotide ribosomal RNA is filed under the name uncultured crenarchaeote. Its description in RNAcentral is "bacterial SSU rRNA". It matches the Rfam family "Archaeal small subunit ribosomal RNA", at positions 41 to 610 of the family's 1478-position model. Lineage: Archaea; Thermoproteati; Thermoproteota. The record is from RNAcentral.
AGGAUAAGCCAUGCGAGUUGUAUGGGAUCCCUAAACUCCCAUAUCAAACUGCUCAGUAACACAUGAUCAACUUGCCCUAUGGAGAGCACUAACCUCGGGAAACUGAGGAUAAUGGCUCAUACUUGAUUAGGCUUGGAAAAGUUUUUCAAUGAAAGGCGUAAGAAAAAUGGUUCUUAUGCGCCAUAGGAUAGGAUCGUGCUCGAUUAUGGUGGUUGGUGAGGUAACGGAUCACCAAGCCGAUAAUCGAUAGGGGCCGUGAGAGCGGUUGCCCCGAGAUGGGUACUGAGACAGCGACCCAGGCCUUACGAGGCGCAGCAGGCGCGAGACCUCCGCAAUACACGCAAGUGUGACGGGGUUACCCAAAGUGUCCUUAUUGGACUGUGGCGGGUGAGUAAUGUUCCCCGCUAGAAAGGAGAGGGCAAGGCUGGUGCCAGCCGCCGCGGUAAAACCAGCUCUUCAAGUGGUCGGGAUAAUUAUUGGGCUUAAAGUGUCCGUAGCCGGUUUAGGUAAGUUCCUGGUAAAACCGGGCAGCUUAGCUGUCCGUAUGCUAGGAAUACUGCUAUGCUAGAGGGCGGGAGAGGUC